GAAUCCUAACCGUGCGAAGGUAGCGUAAUCACUUGUCCUUUAAAUGAGGACUAGUAUGAACGGUUUCACGAAGGCUGCACUGUCUCCUUUUUCUAAUCAGUAAAACUAAUCUCCCCGUGAAGAAGCGGGAAUUUUCCUAUAAGACGAGAAGACCCUAUGGAGCUUUAAACAAUUGACAACACUUGCAUCUUAAACUUUAUUUUUAUUUAACCUAGCAUUUUGUUUCUAGUUUUAGGUUGGGGUGACCAUGGAGAAAAACCCAUCCUCCAUGACGAAAGAAAUUUUAUUUCUUAGCAAAAAGCUACAUCUUAAUGCAUCAACAAAUUGACCCUAAUUGACCCAAUAAUUUGAUCAACGAACCAAGUUACCCUAGGGAUAACAGCGCAAUCCACUUCAAGAGCUCUUAUCGACAAGUGGGUUUACGACCUCGAUGUUGGAUCAGGGUGUCCUAGUGGUGCAGUCGCUA
This 466-nucleotide ribosomal RNA is filed under the name Mannophryne cordilleriana. RNAcentral's name for it is "partial 16S ribosomal RNA". It matches the Rfam family "Bacterial large subunit ribosomal RNA", at positions 1937 to 2564 of the family's 2925-position model. The record is from RNAcentral. Lineage: Eukaryota; Metazoa; Chordata; Amphibia; Anura; Aromobatidae.